CAGUGUUAGUUAUAGUAUGCAUGAGGAACUCAGAAUCCCAGAACACACUGCACCUUCCUUGUUAGACUGAAUGUUCUGGACAGCUCUCUUGUCCUCAUCACCAUCUACCCCUCUACAAUGGUGACAGUGUUUCCUACUUUAAUAUGUAGCAGAAGGUGUAGUGUGUAGUGUGUAUCAGAAGGUGUAGUGUGUAUCAGAAGGUGUAGUGUGUAUCAGAAGGUGUAGUGUGUAUCAGAAGGUGUAGUGUGUAGUGUGUAUCAGAUGGUGUAGUGUGUAUCAGAUGGUGUAGUGUGUAUCAGAAGGUGUAGUGUGUAUCAGAAGGUGUAGUGUGUAUCAGAAGGUGUAGUGUGUAGUGUGUAUCAGAAGGUGUAGUGUGUAUCAGAAGGUGUAGUGUGUAUCAGAUGGUUUAGUGUGUAUCAGAAGGUGUAGUGUGUAUCAGAUGGUGUAGUGUGUAUCAGAAGGUGUAGUGUGUAUCAGAUGGUGUAGUGUGUAUCAGAAGGUGUAGUGUGUAUCAGAAGGUGUAGUGUGUAUCAGAUGGUUUAGUGUGUAUCAGAAGGUGUAGUGUGUAUCAGAUGGUGUAGUGUGUAGUGUGUAUCAGCUGGUGUAGUGUGUAUCAGAAGGUGUAGUGUGUAUCAGAUGGUUUAGUGUGUAUCAGAAGGUGUAGUGUGUAUAGGAAGGUGUAGUGUAUAUCAGAUGGUUUAGUGUGUAGUGUGUAUCAGAAGGUGUAGUGUGUAUCAGAAGGUGUAGUGUGUAUCAGAAGGUGUAGUGUGUAUCAGAAGGUGUAGUGUGUAGUGUGUAUCAGAAGGUGUAGUGUGUAUCAGAAGGUGUAGUGUGUAUCAGAAGGUGUAGUGUGUAUCAGAUGGUGUAGUGUGUAGUGUGUAUCAGAAGGUGUAGUGUGUAUCAGAAGGUGUAGUGUGUAUCAGAAGGUGUAGUGUGUAUCAGAAGGUGUAGUGUGUAGUGUGUAUCAGAAGGUGUAGUGUGUAUCAGAAGGUGUAGUGUGUAUCAGAUGGUGUAGUGUGUAUCAGAAGGUGUAGUGUGUAUCAGAUGGUGUAGUGUGUAUCAGAAGGUGUAGUGUGUAUCAGAAGGUGUAGUGUGUAUCAGGAGGUGUAGUGUGUAUCAGAAGGUGUAGUGUAUAGUGUGUAUCAGGAGUUGUAGUGUGUAUCAGAUGGUGUAGUGUGUAUCAGAUGGUGUAGUGUGUAUCAGAAGGUGUAGUGUGUAUCAGAAGGUGUAGUGUGUAUCAGAUGGUGUAGUGUGUAGUGUGUAUCAGAAGGUGUAGUGUGUAUCAGAAGGUGUAGUGUGUAUCAGAAGGUGUAGUGUGUAUCAGAAGGUGUAGUGUGUAUCAGAUGGUGUAGUGUGUAUCAGAAGGUGUAGUGUGUAUCAGAUGGUGUAGUGUGUAUCAGAAGGUGUAGUGUGUAUCAGAAGGUGUAGUGUGUAUCAGGAGGUGUAGUGUGUAUCAGAAGGUGUAGUGUGUAGUGUGUAUCAGGAGUUGUAGUGUGUAUCAGAUGGUGUAGUGUGUAUCAGAUGGUGUAGUGUGUAUCAGAAGGUGUAGUGUGUAGUGUGUAUCAGAAGGUGUAGUGUGUAUCAGAAGGUGUAGUGUGUAUCAGAAGGUGUAGUGUGUAGUGUGUAUCAGAAGGUGUAGUGUGUAUCAGAAGGUGUAGUGUGUAUCAGAAGGUGUAGUGUGUAUCAGAAGGUGUAGUGUGUAGUGUGUAUCAGAAGGUGUAGUGUUUAUCAGAAGGUGUAGUCUGUAUCAGAUGGUGUAGUGUGUAUCAGAAGGUGUAGUGUGUAUCAGAAGGUGUAGUGUGUAGUGUGUAUCAGAUGGUGUAGUGUGUAUCAGAAGGUGUAGUGUGUAGUGUGUAUCAGGAGUUGUAGUGUGUAUCAGAUGGUGUAGUGUGUAUCAGAUGGUGUAGUGUGUAUCAGAAGGUGUAGUGUGUAGUGUGUAUCAGGAGUUGUAGUGUGUAUCAGAUGGUGUAGUGUAUAUCAGAUGGUUUAGUGUGUAGUGUGUAUCAGGAGUUGUAGUGUGUAUCAGAUGGUGUAGUGUGUAUCAGAUGGUGUAGUGUGUAUCAGAUGGUGUAGUGUGUAUCAGAAGGUGUAGUGUGUAUCAGAAGGUGAAGUGUGUAUCAGAUGGUGUAGUGUGUAGUGUGUAUCAGAAGGUGUAGUGUGUAUCAGAAGGUGUAGUGUGUAUCAAAAGGUGUAGUGUGUAUCAGAAGGUGUAGUGUGUAUCAGAAGGUGUAGUGUGUAGUGUGUAUCAGAAGGUGUAGUGUGUAUCAGAAGGUGUAGUGUGUAUCAGAUGGUGUAGUGUGUAGUGUGUAUCAGAAGGUGUAGUGUGUAUCAGAAGGUGUAGUGUGUAUCAGAAGGUGUAGUGUGUAUCAGAAGGUGUAGUGUGUAUCAGAAGGUGUAGUGUGUAUCAGAAGGUGUAGUGUGUAGUGUGUAUCAGAAGGUGUAGUGUGUAUCAGAAGGUGUAGUGUGUAUCAGAUGGUGUAGUGUGUAUCAGAUGGUGUAGUGUGUAUCAGAAGGUGUAGUGUGUAUCAGAAGGUGUAGUGUGUAGUGUGUAUCAGAAGGUGUAGUGUGUAUCAGAAGGUGUAGUGUGUAUCAGAUGGUGUAGUGUGUAUCAGAAGGUGUAGUGUGUAUCAGAAGGUGUAGUGUGUAGUGUGUAUCAGAAGGUGUAGUGUGUAUCAGAAGGUGUAGUGUGUAUCAGAAGGUGUAGUGUGUAUCAGAAGGUGUAGUGUGUAGUGUGUAUCAGAUGGUGUAGUGUGUAUCAGAUGGUGUAGUGUGUAUCAGUAGGUGUAGUGUGUACCAGAAGGUGUAGUGUGUAUCAGAAGGUGUAGUGUGUAUCAGAAGGUGUAGUGUGUAGUGUGUAUCAGAAG
This 2864-nucleotide long non-coding RNA is filed under the name Salmo salar (Atlantic salmon). Its description in RNAcentral is "lncRNA (ENSSSAG00000115940.1)". Lineage: Eukaryota; Metazoa; Chordata; Actinopteri; Salmoniformes; Salmonidae. The record is from RNAcentral.